GGGUGACAGGUGGUGCAUGGUUGUCGUCAGCUCGUGUCGUGAGAUGUUGGGUUAAGUCCCGCAACGAGCGCAACCCUCGACCUUAGUUGCCAGCAUUCAGUUGGGCACUCUAAGGUGACUGCCGGCUAAAAGUCGGAGGAAGGUGGGGAUGACGUCAAAUCAUCAUGCCCCUUAUGACCUGGGCUACACACGUGCUACAAUGGGCGGUACGAAGGGUCGCGAACCCGCGAGGGGGAGCCAAUCCCAAAAAGCCGCUCUCAGUUCGGAUUGCAGGCUGCAACUCGCCUGCAUGAAGCCGGAAUCGCUAGUAAUCGCGGAUCAGCAUGCCGCGGUGAAUACGUUCCCGGGCCUU
Molecule: ribosomal RNA, 352 nt
Filed under: uncultured Anoxybacillus sp.
Lineage: Bacteria; Bacillati; Bacillota; Bacilli; Caryophanales; Anoxybacillaceae
Description: bacterial SSU rRNA
Rfam family: Bacterial small subunit ribosomal RNA
Source: RNAcentral